GGAGGGUAUGUGUAUUUCCUGGAAUGAACCUUUUUUUUUUUUCACAUUAAUGUUUUUUUUCACAGGCCCUACACUGGAACAGGCCACGGAGGAGGAGGAUGAUGAUGAUGAUGAUGCGGCUGCAUUUAGUGACGACGAGCCAGAAUACAUUUUUGUCCGUCGCCAACCAGUGGAGGAGACACCUGAGCCAAUGAUUUAUGGGGGCCCAAGACAGGGCCAUGAACGGUGGGCUGGCCCAGAAGCGGGCAGGCAGCAGCCCACUU
This is a long non-coding RNA of Pseudophryne corroboree (corroboree frog), 263 nucleotides long. RefSeq lists it as uncharacterized. Lineage: Eukaryota; Metazoa; Chordata; Amphibia; Anura; Myobatrachidae. The transcript has 4 exons. The record is from RefSeq and is a predicted model, not a curated record.